CUCUGUCCUGUCUCUGUCCCUGUCCAUGUCUCUGUCCUGGCUCUUUCCUGUCCCUGUCUCUGUCUCUGUCGUGUCUCUGUCCCUGUCUCUGUCCUGUCUCUGUCGUGUCUCUGUCCUGUCUCUGUCCCUGUCCCUGUCUCUGUCCUGUCUCUGUCCUGUCUCUGUCCUGGCUCUGUCCUGUCCCUGUCUCUGUCUCUGUCAUGUCUCUGUCUCUGUCCCUGUCUCUGUCCUGUCCCUGUCUCUGUCCUGUCUCUGUCUCUAUCUCUGUCCUGUCCUGUCUCUGUCUCUGUCUCUGUCUCUGUCUCUGUCUCUGUCUCUGUCGUGUCUCUGUCUCUGUCCUGUCUCUGUCCUGUCCCUGUCUCUGUCGUUUCUCUGUCCUGUCUCUGUCUCUGUCCCUGUCCCUGUCUCUGUCCUGUCUCUGUCUCUGUCGUGUCUCUGUCUCUGUCUCUGUCCUGUCCCUGUCUCUGUCCUGUCUCUGUCCAGUGUCUGUCCUGUCUCUGUCCUGUCCCUGUCUCUGUCCUGUCCCUGUCUCUGUCCUGUCUCUGUCUCUCUCCUGUCUCUGUCUCUGUCCUGUCUCUGUCUCUGUCGUGUCUCUGUCUCUUUCCUGUCCCUGUCUCUGUCCUGUCUCUGUCCAGUGUCUGUCCUGUCCCUGUCUCUGUCUUGUCCCUGUCUCUGUCCUGUCUCUGUCCUGUCUCUGUCUCUGUCCUGUCUCUGUCCAGUGUCUGUCCUGUCCCUGUCUCUGUCCUGUCCCUGUCCUGUCUCUGUCCAGUGUCUGUCCUGUCCCUGUCUCUGUCUUGUCCCUGUCUCUGUCCUGUCUCUGUCCUGUCUCUAUCCUGUCCCUGUCUCUAUCCUGUCCUGUCUCUGUCUCUGUCGUGUCUCUGUCUCUGUCCUGUCUCUGUCUCUACUGUCUGUCUCUGUCCAGUGUCUGUCCUGUCUCUGUCUCUGUCCUGUCCCUGUCUCUGUCCUGUCCCUGUCUCUGUCCUGUCUCUGUCCUGUCUCUAUCCUGUCCCUGUCUCUAUCCUGUCCUGUCUCUGUCUCUGUCGUGUCUCUGUAUCUGUCCUGUCCCUGUCUCUGUCCUGUCUCUGUCCAGUGUCUGUCCUGUCUCUGUCUCUGUCUCUGUCCUGUCCCUGUCUCUGUCCUGUCUCUGUCCUGUCCCUGUCUCUGUCGUUUCUCUGUCUCUGUCUCUGUCCCUGUCUCUGUCCUGUCCCUGUCUCUGUCCUGUCUCUGUCCUGUCUCUAUCCUGUCUGUAUCCUAUCCCUGUCUCUAUCCUGUCCUGUCUCUGUCCUGUCCCUGUCUCUGUCCUGUCCCUGUCUCUGUCCUGUCUCUGUCCUGUCCCUGUCUCUGUCUCUGUCUCUGUCUCUGUCUCUGUCCUGUCUCUGUCUCUGUCUCUGUCUCUGUCUCUGUCUCUGUCUCUGUCUCUGUCUCUGUCUCUGUCUCUGUCCUGUCCCUGUCCCUGUCUCUAUCCUGUCCUGUAUCUGUCUUUGUCUCUCUAAAACGGCAUACUGAUCAUGCACUGCUAUUGUUCUCUUACUAUUCAUAUAUUCUAAUUGGUUGUUUUCAUCCGUAGGUUAAGAAGAAAUAAACGCGUAUUGCUAUGCUGCCUGAAGAAUCGGAGCGGGUUCCUCGGGCGUCAUUAAGUUCCUUUCAGACUAUUGGAGGAUACCUGCAAGUGACUUCACGGUUUAUCCAUCUGGUUAUAUUCAAUACAGUCUUACAUCUUAUUCAAAGUCAUUUAAGUUCUGUGUAAAGCUAUAUAUUUAUCAUGCAAAAGUUAAUUCCUUCCCAACUUUUGAGGUCAUAUCCAUUUGAAGUGCACCCUGCUAAAUCUAUGGACCACCACCAAUCCCCCAUAUGUCAUCCACAGGGCUACUACAACACUAGCACCUGCUGGAUAUGGCACUGGACACAGUAGAGGCCACGCGCCACAAUUCAGAGAGAUCCCACUCUUUCAUCCUACUGUCACCUCUUCUGCUUGUGUCAGCUGCACUCUGUUUGUGUCUGACCCGUUCUGAGGCACGCCUGACCAGGUGAUUCAGUGUGCUGUCAUAACGAGGCUGGUGGUCUCCUAAGUAGAGGAAGAGAUGGAAAAAGAUACAGAGACGGAGGGAGAGACGGAGGGAGAGACGGAGGGAGGCGAGAGCAAGAGCGUUCACCAGCACCCAGCUAGUGUUACUAGAGAAGGAGUUCCACUUCAGGCCCUACCUGUGUCCACCCCGCAGGCUGGAGAUGGCUGCAGGCCUGAGGCUCACCGAUCGGCAGAUCAAGAUCUGAUUCCAGAACCGACGCAUGAAACACGAGAAGGACCAUAAGGAGGACAGUGUCAUAGAGACUGAGACGCCAAAACAUCCUUCUCUACCACCACACACGUUGUCCUCCCUCAGUCCAAGGUUCUCUAUUGGUGUUGGGUACUCAGUUCUUGUCUGGUGAGAGCGCCUAGAUCUCCAACCCUCCUCUUCAUAGAUUAAGAUCGUGCCCCUGCUCUGGUUGAUUUUAACAGUAGAAAUGACAGUGAAUGUUUUUGUGUUUCCUCCAUGGAUCUUCCCCCAUCUCACCACCAUACCUGCACCUGUCUCUUACUGUUGGAGACAGCAGUUGUUUGACCACAGGUCUCUCAGAACCUUCCCCAUGGCACAAUGAUGCACACCUAUUUUAUGACAUCAGUGCACGCUUCAAACGUCACGGCUUCCCCCUAGAACCUCCUACUCACCCUUGAGAGUAGGGCACAACCCUAACACCUACAGUGAGGGAAAAAAGUAUUUGAUCCCCUGCUGAUUUUGUAUGUUUUCCCACUGACAAAGAAAUGAUCAGUCUAUAAUUGUAAUGGUAUGUAUAUUUGAACAGUGAGAGACAGAAUAACAACAACAAAAAUCCAGAAAAACACGUCAAAAAAGUUUUAAAUUGAUUUGUAUUUUAAUGAGGGAAAUAAGUAUUUGACUCCUCUGCAAAACAUGACUUAGUACUUGGUGGCAAAACCCUUGUUGGCAAUCACAGAGGUCAGACGUUUCUUGUAGUUGGCCACCAGGUUUGCACACAUCUCAGGAGGGAUUUUGUCCCACUCCUCUUUGCAGAUCUUCUUCAAGUCCUUAAGGUUUCGAGGCUGACGUUUGGCAACUCGAACCUUCAGCUCCCUCCACAGAUUUUCUAUGGGAUUAAGUUCUGGAGACUGGCUAGGCCACUCCAGGACCUUAUUGUGCUUCUUCUUGAGCCACUCCUUUGCUGCCUUGGCCGUGUGUUUUGGGUCAUUGUCAUGCUGGAAUACCCAUCCACGACCCAUUUUCAAUGCCCUGGCUGAGGGAAGGAGGUUCUCACCCAAGAAUUGACGGUACAUGGCCCCGUCCAUCGUCCUUUUGAUGCGGUGAAGUUGUCCUGUCCCCUUAGCAGAAAAACACCCCCAAAGCAUAAUGUUUCCACCUCCAUGUUUGACGGUGGGGAUGGUGUUCUUGGGGUCAUAGGCAGCAUUCCUCCUCCUCCAAACACGGCGAGUUGAGUUGAUGCCAAAGAGUUCCAUUUUGGUUUCAUUUGACCACAACACUUUCACCCAGUUGUCUUCUGAAUCAUUCAGAUGUUCAUUGGCAAACUUCAGACGGGCAUGUAUAUGUGCUUUCUUGAGCAGGGGGACCUUGCGGGCGCUGCAGGAUUUCAGUCCUUCACAGGACUACCAAUUGUUUUCUUGGUGACUAUGGACUCAGCUGCCUCGAGAUCAUUGACAAGAUCCUCCCGUGUAGUUCUGGGCUGAUUCCUCACCGUUCUCAUGAUCAUUGCAACUCCACGAGGUGAGAUCUUGCAUGGAGCGCCAGGCCGAGGGAGAUGGACAGUUCUUUUGUGUUUCCUCCAAUUGCUAAUAAUUGCACCAACUGUUGUCACCUUCUCACCAAGCUGAUUGGCGAUGGUCUUGUAGCCCAUUCCAGCCUUGUGUAGGUCUACAAUCUUGUCCCUGACAUCCUUGGAGAGCUCUUUGGUCUUGGCCAUGGUGGAGAGUUUGGAAUCUGAUUGAUUGAUUGCUUCUGUGGACAGGUGUCUUUUAUACAGGUAACAAGCUGAGAUUAGGAGCACUCCCUCAGUUCAUUACCUGUAUAAAAGACACCUGGGAGCCAGAAAUCUUUCUGAUUGAGAGGGGGUCAAAUACUUAUUUCCCUCAUUAAAAUGCAAAUCAAUUUAUAACAUUUUUGACAUGCGUUUUUAUUUAAUGUAUUUAUUUUAUCCUGUCUCUCACUGUUCAAAUAAACCUACCAUUAAAAUUAUAGACUGAUUACUUCUUUGUCAGUGGGAAAACGUACAAAAUCAGCAGGAGAUCAAUUACUUUUUUCCCUCACUGUAGAUCGUGAGUCGAAGGGCUCAAUUCAAUCAAACCAGCCCUGCAGACGUUACCUUUCAUUCAACAUUUUGAUAGCGGCUUCCUGAACAAGGAAUAAUUAUUACCUGUAGGUUAUCCUGAGUAUCACUAGGACUAGGUUUCUAUUCCAAAGCAACCACCACUGCCCCCUCUGUUGCUAUUCUAUUAUACCUUGUGGCAGAUGUAAGGCAUGAUGUACUGUACAUAGCCUACCAGUAAUCUUUUGGCAUAAUUGACCUGAUUUAGCUUAUAGCAAUAAACUCCUCAAAUACCUUCUACUGGUAUUACUGUACUGUUUUGCAUGAUGAAUGCAUGUUUUGAAUACAUUAUUAAUCUGUGUCAGAUAAUGUAUCAGAUAAUUGACUUGUGGUUGUCAUCUCUGUAAAUCGUAGAGAAAAUAAUUUUACUUUGCUAUAGUUGUUAGAUGUUAUGUUCUGAUCGUGUAAGUAACAUAAUUUACUAGCCAUCAAUUUAGUAUUUUCAAGACCUCCUCCUGUGUCAAAUACAUGUGGCUGUUGUAUCCGUAGAUCAGAGGGAGAGACUUGACUUUGGCUGUAGGUGUCAUGUGUUAAGUCUUGUUUCAUGUGUUCUUAUCAUGUUCAUAGCUGCUCAUAUGUGUAAGUUGUUUACAUGUGUAAGUUGUUAAGGCUAAGUGUGAAAACAGAAGCAAGCAUAUGUUCAUACUGAACAAAGUUCUAUUUUGUUAUGUAUGUAUUAUGUAAACUAAAAUCAGUUUUUGAUACUGUUCUUGAUUAUUUGAGAUGUUUAAUAAAUGCAUUUGUGUAAAAUCAA
Molecule: long non-coding RNA, 5125 nt
Organism: Oncorhynchus tshawytscha (Chinook salmon)
Lineage: Eukaryota; Metazoa; Chordata; Actinopteri; Salmoniformes; Salmonidae
Source: Ensembl